UACGAAGGGGGCUAGCGUUGUUCGGAAUUACUGGGCGUAAAGCGCACGUAGGCGGGUCUGUAAGUAGGGGGUGAAAUCCCAGGGCUCAACCCUGGAACUGCCUUCUAGACUGCAGGCCUGGAGGUCAGGAGAGGCGAGUGGAAUACCGAGUGUAGAGGUGAAAUUCGUAGAUAUUCGCAAGAACACCAGUGGCGAAGGCGGCUCACUGGCCCGGUACUGACGCUGAGGUGCGAAAGCGUGGGGAGCAAACAGG
RNAcentral lists this ribosomal RNA (253 nucleotides) under uncultured bacterium. RNAcentral describes it as "partial 16S ribosomal RNA". It matches the Rfam family "Bacterial small subunit ribosomal RNA", at positions 524 to 776 of the family's 1533-position model. The record is from RNAcentral.